AAACCUGGGGGAAAUGAACAUUUUACCUCAGUAACUCAUGCUGUAUGGUCUGUGGCCAUAUGUCUAUUUUUUAGACUCCAAACUAGUUUUACUUUUUCCCAAUAAACAAAAAAUUGGGAGGGAGUCUGGUACAGUGUUUUUAAAAAAUAAUCUAACUGAACUAGUAAGUCUAUGAAUUCCAGUUUUCAGUUAGCAAAUGUCAGGGGGAAAUCAUCCCUUAUGCAUUCCUAUUUUACAUUACCUCCUUAUUUCAGCCCCUACCAUUAGAUAAAAUGGAAAAGGUAAAAAUAUCUUUAAAUAUCUUCUCUUCUCUUCCUCCCACUCUGUAGGUUACAGAAUAGAGAAAGGUCAGGUACAUCUUCUACUUCACCAAUAAGCAUAAAAUAGAAAAAUGUUUAGGAAACAAAAAGGAAGUAAAUAUCGGUUUCCUACCAUUCCAUGUGAAAACAAGCUGUGAAGAACCAGAUGACCACUGUGAGUUUUCAGUGACCUUAGGAACUUACAGUCUAGUAGGAAACAGACGUUAUUCAAAUAAUCAAAGAAAGCUGUAACUGCAUAUUUACAUAAUGCUCCUAAAAGGAAUAUGAUAUAAAACGAAGAUGAAUUUAUCUAGGGCCGCGCCUGGCUGAUAAUCCCUUUUCUGUAUCAUUUAAAGUCGUUCUGCUUCCCAGAUCAAACUGUGAUACAAUUCCCAUUAAGAAAAAAUAGGUAAAAACAAUGAUUACAGAAAAUGUAUAACAUUAAAUUUAUGUAAAAUUAUGUGUGAAUAUAAGUAUAUAAAGCAAUUAAGGAAGGUUUUCCAGAGGAAGUAGUGGCUGCUCUUCCCAGAAGAAGGAUGCUCCUUCGUCAGAGAUCGGUAUUUGCAUGGACAUUGAAGAAACUUAAGGAAGGUCAUGUGUCUGAAUGGGUUGGGGGAGAAAAGAGAAGAAAAGACGACAGAAUACACGGAGAGGGAGGGUAAGGGCAAGGAAAAGGAACAGAGUGAAGACAAGAACAAAGAAUGGGGGAUGGGGGGAAGAAAAUUAAAUAAAAGGCAGAUUUGACGCCAGGAUGAGAAGUAGGUAGGGAUCAGACUACACAGCUUAGGACAUGUUUUAAAACUGGGUCUUUAUUCUAAGAACCAGAGGAGAAGUUCACCAUAUGGUUUUAGCACAAUCAUAUAUGUAUGUUUGCAAAGGUCACUCCAAGGACUUCCAAUUAAAAUGAAGAUUAAACACCCAUUUAUCUCUGCUCCCUUUCAACAGCCCAUCAAAUUGACAGUAAAUACCUAAAAAAGGGUAUAAACACAAGGACAAAGGGAUCAGAAAAAGCAACAAUAGUGAACAAGAGAUAAUCAUGAACAUCUGGAAUGCAGAGGCAGAUAGGUAAGUGGGAUGACUUAGUAGACCUGACAAAACUGAACCCUAAUUCUACAAGGGAUGUGGGAAGAGGGUGCCCACAGGAAUCAAGCAACCCACACUGGCGUAGCUCAGAAACUGAAGCCACAAAGGACUACUAAAAGUGCAAGUUUGGACUGAGGCUGAAAACAGGAGAACUGAGAAAAGGUUCUAUAAACAGCAAACAGAUAACCCAUCUCUCAACCCCACUGCCACCUGUCUGGCAAAAAUCUGGAGGUUUUACUUUCUAAAAAGGGUGAAAGAGAGAAGCUUGAGCCUCAGGGAUGCCAAGCAAACCAGAAGAUGAAGAGCUGAGGAGUGCUGGAUGACACCCUAUUCAACAAAUGCUUUCCCUCUGUGUGGUUCCCAAACCCUGGCUGUCAGGCUUAUACCACAGACAGUAGAGGUUGGAAGAUUCUUUUCAGGGGAUGCUGACCUGUCCAAGACAAAUGAUAAUCCUUGACAGUCUAUCAAAAACAAACAAAAAUCAUGUAUAACAACAUCACACUGCUUUAUCACAGAGAAAGGUUCAACAUUCUAUAAUCCCUGCCCUCACAAAGGCUUCCCAUUGGCUUUUUAGGACCUUAUUUUUAAUACAAAUGGACAGCUAAGUAUCAGAAAUCUUUUGUUACAAAACAAAACAAAAUAAAGCAAACUCUUGUUUCCUAUGAGAUACUGCAGGGAAUGGAACAAAACUUAAAACUAAGACAAACAAAAACCAACCACCAGCAAAAAUCUAUUAACUGACGGCCUCAGAGAAACAAGAAUUAGAUGGUACAAGACAAACAUUCAGAAAACAGAAUUGUUCUUGGAAAAUAAAAAUAUGAUAGCAGAAAUUUAAAAAUUCAAAGAAUUAGAAAAAAAACUUUAAUUUUAGAAAAAUGCAGUUGAGAUAACUGCCCAGAAAGUAGAACAAAAAAAAUUAGAGAUAGAAAAUAGAAGAGAAUAUUUGAAAAUCAAUUGCAAAGGUCUAACAUCUGAGCGAUGAGAAUUCCAGGACAAGAAGUUAUUAAAGAAACAAUGAAGACCAUGUCCCAGAACUGAAGGACGUUAAGUUUCCAAGAUUAAAGGGGUUCACCUGUUAAUCCAUCAUUAUGACUCAAAACCUACACCAAGGAACAUCACUGUGAAUUUCUGAACAUCAGUGACUAAACAAACAAACAAACAAACAAACAAAACCCAAAAGCUUGGAGGAAGGAAAGGAUUUAUAAAGAAAAUGCCUUUGAAUCUGCCUGGAAGUUAAAAGGAACAAUGCUUCAAAUUCUGAACUAUCAUCACUAGUACUUACCUAUGUACUGAAAGUACCCGCUAACACAACCACUCAAGAGAAAUUAAAAGUAUAGAAACUGGGAAGGAAACUAUCAUUAUUUGCAGAUAACACCUGGGAAACUCAAAGAGAAUUUACUGAAAACGACCCAAACAAUAAGGUACCAGAGCAUAAAAUUUAAAGAAAUCAAGAAUUCUCAUAUAUACCAGUAACAAGAAGACAGAAUGGGGGAAAUUUUCCCACUUAUAAUAGCAACAAGAUGAAAUACCUAAGAAUACACUCAGUAUUGCUAUAACUAUAUAAAGAACAACUUAAAUACUACUGAAGAAUACAAAAGUAGACAUCAACAAAUAGAAUGACAUACCAUGAUCUUGGUUACGAUGACUCAACAUCUAAAAUCACAAAUGUUCCCAGAGUUUAAACACGAUAAAUAUGCUAUCUUCCCUAUGAAGAAACCAUCAGGUUUAUUGAUUUUUUUUUAACUAAAGAAGCUGAUUCUAGAAUUUGUACAGAAAAUUUAAUAGUAUUAGGAAAACAACAAAGUGGUGCCCAAUGAAAUGGAGAUGGGAAAGAAUACUGCUAGAUUUCAAAAUUCAAUUUCAUGAUUGAAUUAAAAUAGUAUGGAAGAGGUGUGGCUUCAAAAACCAGUGGGGAAAAGCUAGAUUGUUCGACUAUUCAAUAAACAGCUUUUGGACUACUAGGUAGUCUUGGGGACAAGGGGAGAUGGACUUACACCUUACACCCUAUACAAUUUCUAACCACAUAAAACAUUUUUAAUAUGAAGAAAUGAAACCACAAAUGUUCUGGAAAAAACCAUGAAAUAGUUCCUUCAUAAUCUUGGAGUAGAAAGAGGCUUUCUAACUAUGAUUCAAAAUCCAGAAGCAAAGAAGAAAUUUGGUCAGUUACAGACAUAUACAAAUGUCUCCAAGGGUGGGGAAUGAGCAGUCAAAAAAAAAAAAAAAAUCACAAAAAGAGUGAAUCUCUUUAGCUCUUAUAUAUCAAUAAGAAAGACAAGCAAUCCAAUUGAAAAUAAAAAUGGGCAAAGGAUAUGAAUUGAACAGGACAUAAGAAUGGAUCAAUAGCAUAAAACAGACCCUCAAACAUGCUUGUUAAGAGUACAUAGAACAUAAAACUGCAUUUAAAUUCAAUUUUUCACCUACAAGGUUGACAAAAAUCUAAGAGUUUGAAAAAAGUAUUUUGGUGAGGCAGUCUCACGAAUUACACACAUGGGUAAACUAUUCUCCAAUAGCUAUGAAAUUAUAGUGGCACACCUACUGACCUAGCAAUCACAAUUGGCCUAUAUUUACAUAUAUAUAAGAUUAAGUAUGCACAAGUUAGUCCCUACAGUACCGCCCACCCUAGCAAAGGACUGAAAACAGCCCAAAUGCCCACCUAUAGGGAACUGGGGAAUAAACUAUAACACAUCCAUAGGAUAAACUACUACCAGGCCAUUAAAGUAUGAGGAGACACAUAGCAUAGUGGUUAGGAGCACACACUCUGGAACCAUACUGUCUAGACUGGAGUCCUGGAUCAUAUACUUAUUAAUUACGCAACCUUUGUUCAAGUUAUUUAACCUCUCUAUGCUGCAAUUACUCUGUUAAAUAGGAAUAACAAUGGUAACUCCAUCAUAGGGUUGUUAUGAGGAAUAAGUCAGGUCAUAUUUGUAAACUAUUUUGAAUAGUGCUUGGCAUAUACUAAACAUAUCUAAAUAGAAAGAUUUCUAAAACACGCUGUUAUGAUAAAAUAUACUGUGUAUGGUUUACAAUUUUUAUAUAUUUAAAGGGGGAGGGGAUAAGAAUAUAUAGUUGUAUUUGUAACUCUGGAAUAAUACAGAAGAAACUAAAAAUAUAGACUGAUGGGGGAAACUGGGAAUAGAUAUUGGGGAUGUCAGGUAUGAAAGAGAGACUUUUACAGUUUUCACUGCAAACUUUUCCUACUUUUUACUUUAUUCAUAGACAACCUAUUUAAAAAAUUUAAUUAAUAAGAAUAAUUUCCUGGCUGGGCACAGUGACUCAUGCCUGUAAUCCUAGCACUUUGGAAGGCUGAGGCAGGUGGAUCACCUGAGGUCAGGAGUUCGAGACCAGCUUGGACAACAUGGUGAAACCCUGUCUCUACCAAAAAUACAAAAAUUAGCUGGGCAUGGUGGCAUGCGCCUGUAAUCCCAGCUACACUGGAAGCUGAGGCAGGAGAAUCGCUUGAUCCUGGGAGGCGAGGGUUGCAGAGAGCCAAGAAUGCGCCAUUGCACUCCAGCCUGGGGGAUAGAGCGAGAUUCCCUCUCAAAAAAAAAAAGGAAAAAUUUUCUGAGGACAAUCUAGAAUUUAGUAUGCAUUCACAGUAUCAAUAAUGUGUGAAAGUAGAAUAAUGCCAUUUUCAAACUUGCAAGACUAAAAAAACUCACCUUUUUCAGGAAGCUACAAGGACAUGCUCCAUUAAGUCAAAAUAAAUAAAUAAAUAAAUAAAUAAACAAACCAAGGAAUAAAGCAAGAAAACAGGGUAUCCAACACAGAGAGAUAAUGAGAAUUCCCAGAUAAUACUGAAGGGAAGUUCCAGUUCUAAAGUGUAAGCACGUGCAGGCUUAAAGCAUAACCAGCCCAGAUAGGAACAGGAAGUGCAGAGGAUCCAGAGCCAAUUCUCUAGGUGGGAGGGAAAAAAAGGAACUGAUAGGUUACCUAUUUUUGACCGCAUGGGAGAGGUGUUUUGUAACACUAAAUACAGAUUCAACUCAUGUGUGCAUGUGUGUGUGCACGUGCGUGCACGUGUGUAGGGAAGAGGAUGAGUCAUUAGCUGAAUUAUAUAUUGGGGGAAUCAAGAAUAGAACUAUAAGCAGACAUUUUAAAGUAAAGAGAUAAAUGCUAGAAGAAACAGCUAAAAGUUUAUUAAAAAUGGUUUAACAUAUAUUGUUAUGUUCUCUUCACUUAGAAAAAUUAUUAGGGAAGACACUAAAUGAGUCUUUCGACUUUGAAGAAAAGCAAGUGGACUUGAAUUCCAUGGGUGUAAGCUCCAGAAGAUGGGAAUUUUGUUCACCUCAUUCAAAGUAUCCUGCAUUUGGCAUAUAGUAGUCAUCAUUUUUGUGGAUAAAUGAAUAGCUAUACCCAUGUGAAUAAACUAUAUCUUAGCAAUUCA
Homo sapiens (human) is the source of this 5766-nucleotide long non-coding RNA. RefSeq lists it as uncharacterized. NCBI's taxonomy places the organism in Eukaryota, Metazoa, Chordata, Mammalia, Primates, Hominidae. The transcript is spliced from 2 exons. The record is from RefSeq and is a predicted model, not a curated record.